Molecule: long non-coding RNA, 225 nt
Organism: Poeciliopsis prolifica (blackstripe livebearer)
Lineage: Eukaryota; Metazoa; Chordata; Actinopteri; Cyprinodontiformes; Poeciliidae
Exons: 3
Source: RefSeq, a predicted model, not a curated record
GGUCAGGGAUUUUUUCUACAUUCAAACGAAAACCGAACAGAACUGAACUGACCCAAUGGUGACCUGUCUAAUCCUGUUUGGACUCACAACAGUUCCUUGGCCGUCCCUCCCUGCCCCGCCCUGGAAAUGUUCCCCUGCUGGACGGCGUGUUCCUGGUUCCUGGUCUGGGCUCCUUGUGCAUGAACACUGGAUCGAUGCAGCAUGGAGGAGACCGGGCUGUUCAGG